This 506-nucleotide ribosomal RNA is filed under the name uncultured bacterium. RNAcentral's name for it is "partial 16S ribosomal RNA". It matches the Rfam family "Bacterial small subunit ribosomal RNA", at positions 29 to 523 of the family's 1533-position model. The record is from RNAcentral.
AUUGAACGCUGGCGGCAGGCCUAACACAUGCAAGUCGGACGGUAGCACAGAGGAGCUUGCUCCUCGGGUGACGAGUGGCGGACGGGUGAGUAAUGUCUGGGGAUCUGCCCGAUAGAGGGGGAUAACCACUGGAAACGGUGGCUAAUACCGCAUAACGUCGCAAGACCAAAGAGGGGGACCUUCGGGCCUCUCACUAUCGGAUGAACCCAGAUGGGAUUAGCUAGUAGGCGGGGUAAUGGCCCACCUAGGCGACGAUCCCUAGCUGGUCUGAGGGGAGGACCAGCCAGACUGGAACGGAGACACGGGCCAGACUCCUACGGGAGGCAGCAGUGGGGAAUAUUGCACAAUGGGCGGAAGCCUGAUGCAGCCAUGCCGCGUGUAUGAAGAAGGCCUUCGGGUUGUAAAGUACUUUCAGCGGGGAGGAAGGCGAUAAGGUUAAUAACCUUGUCGAUUGACGUUACCCGCAGAAGAAGCACCGGCUAACUCCGUGCCAGCAGCCGCAGUAA